This is a long non-coding RNA of Passer domesticus (house sparrow), 230 nucleotides long. RefSeq lists it as uncharacterized. The transcript is spliced from 2 exons. The record is from RefSeq and is a predicted model, not a curated record. NCBI's taxonomy places the organism in Eukaryota, Metazoa, Chordata, Aves, Passeriformes, Passeridae.
ACCUCUGGACUGGAUUAAGUAAAAUAUGAGACAUGGCAACAUUGUUGCCUUGCACUCAUUAUUUCUCCUUUAUCUAGCAAAGGGGAAAAGAGAACAUGAAAAGAGAAAACACAAGGAGGCCCUGUGAAGAAAUAUUGAAGAUCAAGUGGACUUUUCAAAAACAUUUGGCAGCCGUACAUUCAACAUAUGACACUAUGUUUCCUAAUAAAAUGAAAAAAAAUUAGGCCAUA